Molecule: transfer RNA, 70 nt
Filed under: Pelomedusa subrufa
Lineage: Eukaryota; Metazoa; Chordata; Testudines; Pelomedusidae
Description: tRNA-Gln
Source: RNAcentral
AGAGCAUAGUAUAGGGGAAAUACAUAGCAAUUUUGAUUUCUAAGGGAUGGGUUCGAGUCCUGUUGUUCUA